UACGUAGGGGGCAAGCGUUAUCCGGAUUCACUGGGUGUAAAGGGAGCGCAGGCGGUACGGCGAGUCUGAUGUGAAAACCCGGGGCCCAACCCCGGGACCGCACCGGAUACUGCCGGACUCGAGUGCCGGAGGGGCAGGCGGAAUUCCUGGUGUAGCGGUGAAAUGCGCAGAUAUCAGGAGGAACACCGGUGGCGAAGGCGGCCUGCUGGACGGUAACUGACGCUGAGGCUCGAAAGCGCGGGGAGCGAACAGG
This 253-nucleotide ribosomal RNA is filed under the name uncultured bacterium. RNAcentral describes it as "partial 16S ribosomal RNA". It matches the Rfam family "Bacterial small subunit ribosomal RNA", at positions 524 to 776 of the family's 1533-position model. The record is from RNAcentral.